RNAcentral lists this ribosomal RNA (524 nucleotides) under uncultured bacterium. RNAcentral's name for it is "partial 16S ribosomal RNA". It matches the Rfam family "Bacterial small subunit ribosomal RNA", at positions 28 to 523 of the family's 1533-position model. The record is from RNAcentral.
GACGAACGCUGGCGGCGUGCCUAAUACAUGCAAGCCGAGCGCAGGAAGCCGUCUGAACCCUUCGGGGGGACGACGGUGGAAUGAGCGGCGGACGGGUGAGUAACACGUAAAGAACCUGCCCAUAGGUCUGGGAUAACCACGAGAAAUCGGGGCUAAUACCGGAUGUGUCAUCGGACCGCAUGGUCCGCUGAUGAAAGGCCCUUCGGCGUCGCCCAUGGAUGGCUUUGCGGUGCAUUAGCUAGUUGGUGGGGUAACGGCCCACCAAGGCGACGAUGCAUAGCCGACCUGAGAGGGUGAUCGGCCACACUGGGACUGAGACACGGCCCAGACUCCUACGGGAGGCAGCAGUAGGGAAUCUUCCACAAUGGACGAAAGUCUGAUGGAGCAACGCCGCGUGAACGAUGAAGGCUUUCGGGUCGUAAAGUUCUGUUGUAAGGGAAGAACAAGUGCCGCAGGCAAUGGCGGCACCUUGACGGUACCUUGCGAGAAAGCCACGGCUAACUACGUGCCAGCCGCCGCCGUAA